RNAcentral lists this ribosomal RNA (2815 nucleotides) under Salmonella enterica subsp. enterica serovar Derby. Its description in RNAcentral is "bacterial LSU rRNA". The stretch from base 595 to 2815 matches the Rfam family "Bacterial large subunit ribosomal RNA". Lineage: Bacteria; Pseudomonadati; Pseudomonadota; Gammaproteobacteria; Enterobacterales; Enterobacteriaceae. The record is from RNAcentral.
UGAAAAGUGAAUAGCAAGGCGUNAUCACCUCCUUACCUUAAAGAAGCGUACUUUGCAGUGCUCACACAGAUUGUCUGAUGAAAAGUGAAUAGCAAGGCGUCUUGCGAUUGAGACUUCAGUGUCCCCUUCGUCUAGAGGCCCAGGACACCGCCCUUUCACGGCGGUAACAGGGGUUCGAAUCCCCUAGGGGACGCNGUGUCCCCUUCGUCUAGAGGCCCAGGACACCGCCCUUUCACGGCGGUAACAGGGGUUCGAAUCCCCUAGGGGACGCCAAGGGGACGCCACUUGCUGGUUUGUGAGUGAAAGUCACCUGCCUUAAUAUCUCAAAACUGACUUACGAGUCACGUUUGAGAUAUUUGCUCUUUAAAAAUCUGGAUCAAGCUGAAAAUUGAAACACAGAACAACGAAAGUUGUUCGUGAGUCUCUCAAAUUAGUGUCCCCUUCGUCUAGAGGCCCAGGACACCGCCCUUUCACGGCGGUAACAGGGGUUCGAAUCCCCUAGGGGACGCCNUGUCCCCUUCGUCUAGAGGCCCAGGACACCGCCCUUUCACGGCGGUAACAGGGGUUCGAAUCCCCUAGGGGACGCCACUUGCUGGUUUGUGAGUGAAAGUCACCUGCCUUAAUAUCUCAAAACUGACUUACGAGUCACGUUUGNUGAGGGAAAGGCGAAAAGAACCCCGGCGAGGGGAGUGAAAAAGAACCUGAAACCGUGUACGUACAAGCAGUGGGAGCCCCACCACUAAGCCAGUGGUGAACUCCACAUACGCAUCCUUUGCUGAGGAUACGGUUAACGGAGCGAAAGCGACGUUCAACCUCAAAAGAAGCAGAGGGGGCUUAGUGGUGGGGUGACUGCGUACCUUUUGUAUAAUGGGUCAGCGACUUAUAUUCUGUAGCAAGGUUAACCGAAUAGGGGAGCCGGAGGNGUAAUAGCUCACUGGUCGAGUCGGCCUGCGCGGAAGAUGUAACGGGGCUAAACCAUGCACCGAAGCUGCGGCAGCGACGCUUAUGCGUUGUUGGGUAGGGGAGCGUUCUGUAAGCCUGUGAAGGUGGCCUGUGAGGGUUGCUGGAGGUAUCAGAAGUGCGAAUGCUNGUUGGGUAGGGGAGCGUUCUGUAAGCCUGUGAAGGUGGCCUGUGAGGGUUGCUGGAGGUAUCAGAAGUGCGAAUGCUGACAUAAGUAACGAUAAAGCGGGUGAAAAGCCCGCUCGCCGGAAGACCAAGGGUUCCUGUCCAACGUUAAUCGGGGCAGGGUGAGUCGACCCCUAAGGCGAGGCCGAAAGGCGUAGUCGAUGGGAAACGGGUUAAUAUUCCCGUACUUGGUGUUACUGCGAAGGGGGGACGGAGAAGGCUAUGUUGGCCGGGCGACGGUUGUCCCGGUUUAAGCGUGUAGGUGUGUGUUCCAGGUAAAUCCGGUUCACUUUAACACUGAGGCGUGACGACGAGGCACUACGGUGCUGAAGCAACAAAUGCCCUGCUUCCAGGAAAAGCCUCUAAGCAUCAGGUAACAUCAAAUCGUACCCCAAACCGACACAGGUGGUCAGGUAGAGAAUACCAAGGCGCUUGAGAGAACUCGGGUGAAGGAACUAGGCAAAAUGGUGCCGUAACUUCGGGAGAAGGCACGCUGACACGUAGGUGAAGUGAUUUACUCACGGAGCUGAAGUCAGUCGAAGAUACCAGCUGGCUGCAACUGUUUAUUAAAAACACAGCACUGUGCAAACACGAAAGUGGACGUAUACGGUGUGACGCCUGCCCGGUGCCGGAAGGUUAAUUGAUGGGGUCAGCGCAAGCGAAGCUCCUGAUCGAAGCCCCGGUAAACGGCGGCCGUAACUAUAACGGUCCUAAGGUAGCGAAAUUCCUUGUCGGGUAAGUUCCGACCUGCACGAAUGGCGUAAUGAUGGCCAGGCUGUCUCCACCCGAGACUCAGUGAAAUUGAACUCGCUGUGAAGAUGCAGUGUACCCGCGGCAAGACGGAAAGACCCCGUGAACCUUUACUAUAGCUUGACACUGAACAUUGAGCCUUGAUGUGUAGGAUAGGUGGGAGGCUUUGAAGUGUGGACGCCAGUCUGCAUGGAGCCGACCUUGAAAUACCACCCUUUAAUGUUUGAUGUUCUAACGUGGACCCGUAAUCCGGGUUGCGGACAGUGUCUGGUGGGUAGUUUGACUGGGGCGGUCUCCUCCUAAAGAGUAACGGAGGAGCACGAAGGUUGGCUAAUCCUGGUCGGACAUCAGGAGGUUAGUGCAAUGGCAUAAGCCAGCUUGACUGCGAGCGUGACGGCGCGAGCAGGUGCGAAAGCAGGUCAUAGUGAUCCGGUGGUUCUGAAUGGAAGGGCCAUCGCUCAACGGAUAAAAGGUACUCCGGGGAUAACAGGCUGAUACCGCCCAAGAGUUCAUAUCGACGGCGGUGUUUGGCACCUCGAUGUCGGCUCAUCACAUCCUGGGGCUGAAGUAGGUCCCAAGGGUAUGGCUGUUCGCCAUUUAAAGUGGUACGCGAGCUGGGUUUAGAACGUCGUGAGACAGUUCGGUCCCUAUCUGCCGUGGGCGCUGGAGAACUGAGGGGGGCUGCUCCUAGUACGAGAGGACCGGAGUGGACGCAUCACUGGUGUUCGGGUUGUCAUGCCAAUGGCACUGCCCGGUAGCUAAAUGCGGAAGAGAUAAGUGCUGAAAGCAUCUAAGCACGAAACUUGCCCCGAGAUGAGUUCUCCCUGAGACUUAGAGUCUCCUGAAGGAACGUUGAAGACGACGACGUUGAUAGGCCGGGUGUGUAAGCGCAGCGAUGCGUUGAGCUAACCGGUACUAAUGAACCGUGAGGCUUAACCUU